RNAcentral lists this unclassified non-coding RNA (240 nucleotides) under soil metagenome. Its description in RNAcentral is "partial contains 5.8S ribosomal RNA, internal transcribed spacer 2, and large subunit ribosomal RNA". The record is from RNAcentral.
AACCUAGCACACCUGCGGUGUGUACCUGCGGAAGGAUCAUUAAAAAAGUUUUUGCCUGCGGACCUUGUCCAAGGCGCAAAAAACCCACACCGUGUGCACCGUUAUCGUUUCUUUGGCAGGGGUUUGAGACGAUUGGUUUUUUUCCCUUUCUCUCAACUUCUCCUCUGGCUCUAUCCUUCGUUAAAUUUUUUUUUUCGUCGGACAGCCGGACAUGGGAAGCAGUUUUUUUUAACUACCCCU